CUUAUAGGGUAGAUUGGUAAAUUGUUGCAGGGGAGGUUGCUGGGCUCUGGCCAGGGUCACAGAACUGGGUGGUGACAGGCUGGGAAGAGGUCCAAGCAGCUGACCUCCCCCUCUAGCUCUCUCAGUUCUUGACAACAUCCUUGCUGUUGAACACUGCUUCCUGAAGCUGUCUUUAAAACAAACCCAUUUCCUAGAGCCAAAGCGUCUUGGCCUGCUUUCACUGUACAGUGUCACACUUGACAUUGUCCUGUUGCAGGGGACUCCCACGUGCCGUGGGGAAGGAGGAUUAGAAAAGCAACCCAGAUAGCUAAGCUCCUCUCCGCAGAGGCCCAACUAGCCAUCUGAUUAAAGCAUGCUUCCUUUAUUUUCCCUUUCCUUUAUUUUAUUUUAUCUUUUUCCUUUUUCUUUUUUUUUUCCCGGUAACCUCAUUAUCCAUGCAUCUAGAUGAGAAAUUAAGCUUAGCAAAGACUAAUUUGCUUGACUAUAGUCUGACUUCCAGAAAAUCUGUGAGGCAUGCUGCAACCAUGGGAGAAAAAAAAGGAAAAUGAAAGUGUCUAAACAGGAAUCCAGUCCCCAGCAGGCUUUGGGCAGGAGCCUGAGUUGCUGCUGUGAUGCUGUGUGGAGGAGGAGGAGGCAAUGUAACAAGCAUGACGCACUGCAGGGCUGGUAUAGACUGAUUUUUAUUUCCUGAUCUUGGUCACCAGACAUGGGUUGAGUUCCUCUGCUCACAGUGCCAUAAAUACUACCAGGAGAUUGUUUUGUUCCUUUAGAUGAGGGCAUAGAG
This 784-nucleotide long non-coding RNA is filed under the name Struthio camelus australis. Its description in RNAcentral is "lncRNA (ENSSCUG00000002509.1)". Lineage: Eukaryota; Metazoa; Chordata; Aves; Struthioniformes; Struthionidae. The record is from RNAcentral.